This 458-nucleotide ribosomal RNA is filed under the name Firmicutes bacterium oral taxon G23. Its description in RNAcentral is "bacterial SSU rRNA". It matches the Rfam family "Bacterial small subunit ribosomal RNA", at positions 28 to 479 of the family's 1533-position model. Lineage: Bacteria; Bacillati; Bacillota. The record is from RNAcentral.
GAUGAACGCUGGCGGCGUGCUUAACACAUGCAAGUCGAACGGAGUUGAUUUAAGGAAGCAAGCUUGCUUGAAGAAUUGAAUUAACUUAGUGGCGGACGGGCGAGUAACACGUGAGCAACCUACCUCUUACAGGGGAAUAACAACGGGAAACCGUUGCUAAUACCGCAUGAUAUGUGCUGAAGGCAUCUUUGGCACAUCAAAAGAGCAAUCUGGUGGGAGAUGGGCUCGCGUCUGAUUAGCUAGUUGGUAAGGUAACGGCCUACCAAGGCGACGAUCAGUAGCCGGACUGAGAGGUCGGACGGCCGCAUUGGGACUGAGACACGGCCCAGACUCCUACGGGAGGCAGCAGUGGGGAAUAUUGGGCAAUGGGCGAAAGCCUGACCCAGCAACGCCGCGUGAAUGAUGAAGGCCUUCGGGUUGUAAAAUUCUUUGGACAGGGACGAAGAAAGUGACGUACC